This 468-nucleotide ribosomal RNA is filed under the name uncultured bacterium. RNAcentral describes it as "partial 16S ribosomal RNA". It matches the Rfam family "Bacterial small subunit ribosomal RNA", at positions 28 to 507 of the family's 1533-position model. The record is from RNAcentral.
GACGAACGCUGGCGGCGUGCUUAACACAUGCAAGUCGAACGGAAAGGCCCUGCUUUUGUGGGGUGCUCGAGUGGCGAACGGGUGAGUAACACGUGAGUAACCUGCCCUUGACUUUGGGAUAACUUCAGGAAACUGGAGCUAAUACCGGAUAGGAGCUCCUGCUGCAUGGUGGGGGUUGGAAAGUUUCGGCGGUUGGGGAUGGACUCGCGGCUUAUCAGCUUGUUGGUGGGGUAGUGGCUUACCAAGGCUUUGACGGGUAGCCGGCCUGAGAGGGUGACCGGCCAUAUUGGGACUGAGAUACGGCCCAGACUCCUACGGGAGGCAGCAGUGGGGAAUAUUGCACAAUGGGCGGAAGCCUGAUGCAGCAACGCCGCGUGCGGGAUGACGGCCUUCGGGUUGUAAACCGCUUUCGCCUGUGACGAAGCGUGAGUGACGGUAAUGGGUAAAGAAGCACCGGCUAACUACGUG